UAACACCCUGUUCAUCUCAUAAAUCCAUCUGCUAUCCCACAUAAACCAAAAGAUCUUCAUGAACCAAAACAAUUAACAGAUCUACUCUAUGUAUUGAUGAUUCUUGUUCUGCUUUGGUAUUAUCUAGAUCCGUAAAUUCUCAUAUAGAAAAAGAUUUUUGCUGAUAAUGGAAGGUGCUUCUUAUACAGAAUGGAGAAGCAGUUCACAGGCGGGUAUGUGAGCAAUUGAACUUGCUCAGAUGUUGUUUGAUGAAAAAAGCCUGAGAAGGAUUUUUUAUUGCACUGUUGUAAUCGAUGGGUACUAAGCGUGGAAAGGUAGAGACUGCUCUUGAAGAUUUUGAUAAUAUGCCAGGAAGGAAUUCGAUCUCUCCGAAUUGGUGGUAUUAUCCAUGCUUUGUGUUUUAGUCCAAAUGUUCUAGUGGAUACAUGAACAUAUAAGGAAGAGCGGAGCUGAUUGUAAAUGUGUGUGUUUAGAGAAAUCAUUUGAAGUGCACUGCAUACCUUGUGGAUUGUAUUGUCCAACUGUGCGCAUGUGAGGGAAAGCUGCAAUUUAGCUCUUCGAGGCAAUGCAGAAACUUAUAAUGAUUAGCACCGGAUCGGACCACAACUGCAGCUUUGCUUAGUGCAUCUCCUCAGUAAGGUCUGAUAAGAAGUUAUCUUGAUGUCUCUUGCUUACUUUUGGGGCUUAAUGGCUUAUAUAGCAAUGGGAGAGAUGACGACAUGAAGACUUUUUGUUUGGCUAUUAGCAUACAAGCUAUUACAAGUCUAUGUUGUCGUCGGCCACCCACCGAAGCGGUCAUCUAGCCUUAACUAUACUUGGAUGAAAGAAAUAACAGUCUCCCGUAGCAAAGUUCCAUCUGUGGUUGGUCUGAUGCAGGCAUUUGCUUUUUUGUAAGCACUUUUGACUUGGAUUUCCAUCUUAUGUGCUUUUAACCAAGUUAUUAAUCCUUCUCAGAUCAGUUUCGUCUAAGUGACAUCCUAUCGGCAGAAUUUGGAGUAGCUCUUGCAGUGUGAGAGCACAAGAUUCUUCAGUAAACAAGACCUCGAGUAGGCACGCAAAAGCAAGGGCAUAUGUCCUCCAAAACUUCGUUGGAGGCUGCCCUUCCUGCUCUUUUAUGCUAACGUGUCUACAUGUUCUGAUCACCAUGAAGUAAAGCCUGCAUAGUGUGAAUAAAUCAGAAAGUUGUUGAAAUUUAAGUUGCAAGGGUGCAAGAUGAAUCUAAAGUGAUGACUGCAGAGAGUGGAACGUAACUUGGGAUGGCUCCUGAGUUCGAUACCUUCAUGGAUGCCGUCAUUCUCUUCCCGAUGGUCUCAUGAGGGUUGCUGAUGUCAUGGUUGAUGGUGAGAUCGUUGUUGCUGCUGGAUAAGGAAAUGUUGGGAAAGGGUUGUGCUUCUACAGGAUCUUCUCUCAAGCAAGCUGGUGCCAAGGUCCUAAUGACUGAAAUUGUGGUUGAAAUUCGUAGGACUUGUUGUAUCACUUCUCUUCAAGAAACCUUAAUAAUAGGGAGUUGAAUCCUUUUUUUUUAAUGAUUUUGGACUAGAUUUAUGAGCACAGUUCAACGUAAUGGAGCUGUCAUUUGGUACUAGAUGAUUCAGGUUUGUUUGGAAUUUUAAUUUUAAUUUGAAUUUUAGUAUUUUAA
Molecule: long non-coding RNA, 1639 nt
Organism: Papaver somniferum (opium poppy)
Lineage: Eukaryota; Viridiplantae; Streptophyta; Magnoliopsida; Ranunculales; Papaveraceae
Exons: 10
Source: RefSeq, a predicted model, not a curated record